UUGAUCUAUUAGUAUAUCUCAGCUAAAAUCAUUACUAAUCUUACACCUGAUACCUAUAAAACGACUAGUCUAGUCGUGAUCUUAAAGAGUACUCAUCUUAAGGUGGGCUUCCUACUUAUAUGCUUUCAGCAGUUAUCCACUCCACACUUGACUACCCAGCGUUUUCUGUUGGCACAAAAACUGGAACAUCAGUGGUGUGUCCUUCCCGGUCCUCUCGUACUAAGGAAAGAUCCUUUCAAUACUCUAACGCUCACACCGGAUAUGGACCGAACUGUCUCUCGACGUUCUGAACCCAGCUCACGUACCGCUUUAAUGGGCGAACAGCCCAACCCUUGGGACGUACUACCGCCCCAGGUUGCGAUGAGCCGACAUCGAGGUGCCAAACCUCCCCGUCGAUGUGAACUCUUGGGGGAGAUCAGCCUGUUAUCCCUAGAGUAACUUUUAUCUGUUGAACGACGGCCUUUCCAUUCAGAACCGUCGGGUCACUAAGACCGACUUUAGUCUCUGUUCGACUUAUAGGUCUCACAGUCAAGCUUUCUUAUAUCUUUACACUCUACAACUAAUUUCCGUCCAGACUGAGAAAACCUUUGUACGCCUCCGUUACUUUUUAGGAGGCUACCGCCCCAGUAAAACUGCCCACUUGAAAAUGUCAAACAUAUUAUCAUGUCAUUAGAUUUCUAACUUUUUCAGAGUGGUAUCUCAUAUUAUGGCUCAUCAACUUCCGAAAAAGAGAUUCAUAGCCUCCCACCUAUGCUGCGCAAAAAAAGCCCAAAAUCAAUUUCAAGUUACAGUAAAGCUUCAUAGGGUCUUUCUGUCCAAGUGCGAGUAGACCGCAUCUUCACAGUCAAUUCUAUUUCACCGAGUCUGUCUCCGAGACAGCGCCCAAAUCGUUACGCCUUUCGUGCGGGUCGGAACUUACCCGACAAGGAAUUUCGCUACCUUAGGACCGUUAUAGUUACGGCCGCCGUUCACCAGGGCUUCAGUCGCUAGCUUCGCUUACGCUAACCAACUUCUUUAACCUUCCGGCACUGGGCAGGCGUCAGCCCCCAUACAUCGUUUUUCAACUUAGCGGAGACCUGUGUUUUUGGUAAACAGUCGCUUGGGCCUGCUCACUGCGACCUCAUUAAAUGAGGCACUCCUUCUUCCUAAGUUACGGAGUUAUUUUGCCGAGUUCCUUAGAGACAGUUAUCUCGCGCCCCUUAGUAUUCUCUACUAAUCUACCUGUGUCAGUUUACGGUACAGGCAUAAUCCAUUUAUUACUACAAAAGUUUUUCUAGGAAACAUGACAUAAGUUACUUGCAAUACCGUAGUAUCUCUCGUAUUCUACCCUUUGCUCAAAAUAUUUUUUGAUAAAAUUUAUCUACACAUCGARAUAUUAAACCAAAACAACCAAUGUUUGGCUAACUUAGCCUUUUUCGUCACUCUUAAUAAAAUGAAAAACGGUACAGGAAUAUUAACCUGUUAACCAUCAACUACGUUGUUAAACCUCAUUUUAGGACCUGACUAACCCUUCGUGGACGAACCUGGCGAAGGAAACCUUAGAUUUACGGGGCAUUGGAUUUCCACCAAUGUUUUCGUUACUUAAGCCGACAUUCUCACUUCUGCMUAGUCCACAACUGCUUUCGCUAUUGCUUCAAACAAAACAGAACGCUCUUCUACUGAUUAAUACUCACAUCUUCGGCAAAUUACUUAGUCCCAUUCAUUUUCGGCGCAAAAUCACUUGACCAGUAAGCUAUUACGCACUUUUUAAAGGAAUUGCUGCUUCUAAGCAAACCUCCUGGUUGUCUAUGUAAUAUUACAUCCUUUAUCACUUAGUAAAUAUUUAGGGGCCUUAAAUAGUGAUCUGGGCUGUUUCCCUCUCGACAAUGAAGCUUAUCCCCCACUGUCUCACUAGCUAAUUGAAAUAAUUUGAGUAUUCAGAGUUUGCUACAAUUUAGUACUGCUUUCGCAGCCCUUAUCGAAACAGUGCUUUACCCCUCAUUUUACCAUAAUUAACUGCUGCGCCUCAACGCAUUUCGAAGAGAUCCAGCUAACUCCGAGUUCGAUUAGAAUUUCUCCRCUAAUCACAACUCAUCCCCCAAUUUUUCAACAUUGGUGGGUUCGGUCCUCCACUUUGUUUUACUAAAGCUUCAUCCUGGUCAUGAUUAGAUCACCCGGGUUCGGGUCUAUAGAUAGUGACUAACGCUUUAUUAAAACUCGACUUCACUAAGGCUCCGAUAUAAAAAUCUUAACCAGGCCACUACCCAUAAGUCGCCGGCUCAUUCUUCAACAGGCACACAGUCAAUCUUUUAAUAGACCUCCUACUGCUUGUAAGCUUAUGCUUUCAUAAUCURUUUCACUCCCUUCUCAGGGUUCUUUUAAGCAUUCCCUCACGGUACUAGUUCACUAUCGGUCACUUAGGAGUAUUUAGCCUUACGAGAUGGUCCUCGCAGAUUCACACAGAAUUUCACGUGCUCUAUGCUACUUGGGAAAAAUUAAAAGGUAAAUUAUAAACUUUACAGGACUUCCRACCUUUUCUAGUAUUGUACUCAACAAUUUCAAGUAUAAAUUUUCCAYAAAUUAAAGUCCCACUACACCAAAAUAGGUUUAGGCUGUUUUCAGUUAGCUCGCCACUAAUAAGAAAAUCGCAUUUGCUUUCUUUUCCUUCGGUUAAUAAGAUGUUUCAGUUCACCGAGUUAUCCACAUAAAUUUAGAAAAUUCAAAAAAGUUAUAAGGGUUGCCCCAUUCGGGAAUCUCUGGAUUAAAACUUGUUUCUUGUUCCCCAAAGCAUAUCGUCAGUUACUACGCCCUUCUUCGUCUCUAAGUGCCAAGCCAUCCCGCAUAAGCCCUAUUUCGUUUAA
This 2840-nucleotide ribosomal RNA is filed under the name Euglena deses. RNAcentral describes it as "23S ribosomal RNA". Lineage: Eukaryota; Euglenozoa; Euglenophyceae; Euglenales; Euglenaceae. The record is from RNAcentral.